This 562-nucleotide ribosomal RNA is filed under the name fungal sp. 2601 YZ-2011. RNAcentral's name for it is "eukaryotic LSU rRNA". The stretch from base 184 to 338 matches the Rfam family "5.8S ribosomal RNA". Lineage: Eukaryota; Fungi. The record is from RNAcentral.
UUCUUGGCCCGACCUCCCAACCCUGUGUCUAUUGAACCUUUUGUUGCUUCGGCGGGCCCGUCCUAUAACCAGGACCGCCGGAGGACCGUCAAAACGUCCUCUGGCCCGCGCCCGCCGAUGGCCCAACUAUCAAAACUCUGAACCAAACGUGAAUUGUCUAAGUAUUAUAUUUAAUCAAAACAAAACUUUCAACAACGGAUCUCUUGGUUCUGGCAUCGAUGAAGAACGCAGCGAAAUGCGAUAAGUAAUGCGAAUUGCAGAAUUCCAGUGAGUCAUCGAAUCUUUGAACGCACAUUGCGCCCUUUGGUAUUCCGAAGGGCAUGCCUGUUCGAGCGUCAUUAUCACCUCUCAAGCCCCCCGGGUUUGGCCUUGGAUGGUUUGGUCAGGCUUGCCUGACCCCUCCUAAAGACAAUGACGGCGGCUUUGCUAGACCCCCGGUACACUGAGCUUCUUAAUUGAGCACGUAUUGGAACAAGGGUCUGCGGCCAACGGUCUCCUCCCUUUGCAGGGAAAAUUUUCAAAGGUUGACCUCGGAUCAGGUAGGGAUACCCGCUGAACUUAA